AACAGGAUUAGAUACCCUGGUAGUCCACGCCCUAAACGAUGUCUACUAGUUGUUGGUGGAGUAAAAUCCAUGAGUAACGCAGCUAACGCGUGAAGUAGACCGCCUGGGGAGUACGGUCGCAAGAUUAAAACUCAAAUGAAUUGACGGGGGCCCGCACAAGCGGUGGAUUAUGUGGAUUAAUUCGAUGCAACGCGAAAAACCUUACCUGGCCUUGACAUGUACCGAAUUUACCAGAGAUGGUUUAGUGCUCGAAAGAGAGCGGUAACACAGGUGCUGCAUGGCUGUCGUCAGCUCGUGUCGUGAGAUGUUGGGUUAAGUCCCGCAACGAGCGCAACCCUUGCCAUUAAUUGCCAUCAUUUAGUUGGGCACUUUAAUGGGACUGCCGGUGACAAACCGGAGGAAGGUGGGGAUGACGUCAAGUCCUCAUGGCCCUUAUGGCCAGGGCUUCACACGUAAUACAAUGGUCGGUACAGAGGGUUGCCAACCCGCGAGGGGGAGCCAAUCCCAGAAAGCCGAUCGUAGUCCGGAUUGUAGUCUGCAACUCGACUACAUGAAGUCGGAAUCGCUAGUAAUCGCGGAUCAGCAUGUCGCGGUGAAUACGUUCCCGGGCCUUGUACACACCGCCCGUCACACCAUGGGAGUGGGUUUUACCAGAAGUAGGUAGUCUAACCGUAAGGAGGACGCUUACCACGGUAGUAUUCAUGACUGGGGUGAAGUCGUAACAAGGUAACC
This 732-nucleotide ribosomal RNA is filed under the name uncultured bacterium. Its description in RNAcentral is "bacterial SSU rRNA". It matches the Rfam family "Bacterial small subunit ribosomal RNA", at positions 771 to 1501 of the family's 1533-position model. The record is from RNAcentral.